UAGGUGGGGUGUGUAAGCGCGGCGACGUGUUGAGCUAACCCAUACUAAUUACCCGUGAGGCUUAACCAUACAACACCCAAGAAGUGUUCUG
This 91-nucleotide ribosomal RNA is filed under the name Aeromonas sobria. Its description in RNAcentral is "partial 23S ribosomal RNA". The record is from RNAcentral. Lineage: Bacteria; Pseudomonadati; Pseudomonadota; Gammaproteobacteria; Aeromonadales; Aeromonadaceae.